GGGAAGAGCUCAAAUUUUAAAUCGGGUGGCCGUUUUCUACAGCCUCUCCGAGUUGUAAUCUAGAGAAGCAUCAUCCGUGCUGGACCAUGUACAAGUCUCUUGGAACAGAGCGUCAUAGAGGGUGAGAAUCCCGUCCUUGACAUGGACUCCCAGUACUUUGUGUUGUGCUCUCAAC
RNAcentral lists this ribosomal RNA (175 nucleotides) under Ceratobasidiaceae sp. RNAcentral describes it as "partial large subunit ribosomal RNA". It matches the Rfam family "Eukaryotic large subunit ribosomal RNA", at positions 100 to 261 of the family's 3401-position model. Lineage: Eukaryota; Fungi; Basidiomycota; Agaricomycetes; Cantharellales; Ceratobasidiaceae. The record is from RNAcentral.